GUCUGUUUAUUCGAAUAUCGACAAAUGUCGGUCGAUGAACAAGUCCAACAGCACCGGCAAAAUAUUUCAUCGAUUAGAGUUUCGUUCAAAAUCGUCGUUGACAUAUCAAGUAACGCAUUUCAUUCGCAAUUACUCGAAAGUAAAUACAUAGUAUGCUUACAUAAUGGUAAAAGCGGAUGCGAGGAAAUUCUUCUUAUGCCAUCGAUUUUAUGCUUCAGGAUCUGUAUGAACAAAAUAUCGUUAUGUAAAUAGUGAUCUUAUAAUUAGAGACAAAACAAUGAUUCACAAACAGUACGCACAUGUACAAAUAUUUUUUAGGAAAUAAAAGAAAAAGAAGUGGAAAAUCUAACCUAACGUCUAUAAACUUUGGCGCAUAUGUAUCAGAAUAUGACAAAAGAAGAUAAUAUAGAAAACAGAUAUUACGAAGAAACAGAAAACUAGAGCAAAAAGGAAAACGAGAGUAAAGGAAUUAGAAUAUAAAGUUGGCACUAGGGAUAAUAAUAGGAUAUCAUACAGGCUAGGAUCUGUUAGAAGUUAAUCUCACCGGUUGCAACAAGUGUUUGCUCCUAUCGGCAACAAAUUGACAGAAACGCAGGUCGUGGGAGCCAGGGAAAGCGGGCAUCCCCUUCAUCUGAGCGAACGAACGAGCCACCAGGUCAGUGACGUCAGUCAGACGUAAACCAAGUUAGACGUUAGGCAAGCAUUGAACAAGGAACAUUGUUUCUGUCACCAAAUGUGCUACUUAGACGCGACCCAAUGCGUCGGCUACAUACUCGACAUCAACACAUUUACGGCUAUCGACACUUCCCUCUUACGAAUUUUUAUUACUUUCCUCUGCUCGAUUUCCAUUCAUUUCCGGCUAUAUCAUAUCUACUCUCGUCUCUACUUGUCGCUAAUUCUUAAACGCCCUUGAUUCUUAAACGAAUUUGAUAUUCGUGCUUAUUGCCUGUGAUAUAUCGCAAGAAGUAAAUCUCGAGAUAGCCGUGCUCCAACCGCGUGUUUUUCAAGAAAGGUGAUUUAUAGUGCAAUUUUGUUCACAUAUCAUGCAACGAUCAGUCCCUUUCAACCUUUUAAACAACAGGGGCCUAUUAUAUUUUUUAUACCUACGUAUAUACCAUAAC
Bombus pascuorum is the source of this 1121-nucleotide long non-coding RNA. RefSeq lists it as uncharacterized. NCBI's taxonomy places the organism in Eukaryota, Metazoa, Arthropoda, Insecta, Hymenoptera, Apidae. The record is from RefSeq and is a predicted model, not a curated record. The transcript has 3 exons.